UUCCAGACUCCUACGGGAGGCAGCAGUGGGGAAUAUUGCACAAUGGGGGGAACCCUGAUGCAGCGACGCCGCGUGGGUGAAGAAGCGCCUCGGCGCGUAAAGCCCUGUCAGCAGGGAAGAAAAUGACGGUACCUGAAGAAGAAGCCCCGGCUAACUACGUGCCAGCAGCCGCGGUAAUACGUAGGGGGCAAGCGUUAUCCGGAUUUACUGGGUGUAAAGGGGGCGCAGACGGCGAUGCAAGCCAGGAGUGAAAGCCCGGGGCCCAGCCCCAGGACUGCUCUUGGAACUGCGUGGCUGGAGUGCAGGAGGGGCAGGCGGAAUUCCUGGUGUAGCGGUGAAAUGCGUAGAUAUCAGGAGGAACACCGGUGGCGAAGGCGGCCUGCUGGACUGCAACUGACGUUGAGGCCCGAAAGCGUGGGGAGCAAACAGGAUUAGAUACCCGAGUA
RNAcentral lists this ribosomal RNA (446 nucleotides) under uncultured bacterium. Its description in RNAcentral is "bacterial SSU rRNA". It matches the Rfam family "Bacterial small subunit ribosomal RNA", at positions 329 to 792 of the family's 1533-position model. The record is from RNAcentral.